Molecule: ribosomal RNA, 497 nt
Filed under: uncultured bacterium
Lineage: Bacteria
Description: partial 16S ribosomal RNA
Rfam family: Bacterial small subunit ribosomal RNA
Source: RNAcentral
GAUGAACGCUGGCGGCGUGCCUAAUACAUGCAAGUCGAGCGAACGGACGAUAAGCUUGCUUCUCUGAUGUUAGCGGCGGACGGGUGAGUAACACGUGGAUAACCUACCUAUAAGACUGGGAUAACUUCGGGAAACCGUAGCUAAUACCGGAUAAUAUUUUGAACCGCAUGGUUCAAAAGUGAAAGACGGUCUUGCUGUCUCUUAUAGAUGGAUCCGCGCUGCAUUAGCUAGUUGGUAAGGUAACGGCUUACCAAGGCAACGAUGCAUAGCCGACCUGAGAGGGUGAUCGGCCACACUGGAACUGAGACACGGUCCAGACUCCUACGGGAGGCAGCAGUAGGGAAUCUUCCGCAAUGGGCGAAAGCCUGACGGAGCAACGCCGCGUGAGUGAUGAAGGUCUUCGGAUCGUAAAACUCUGUUAUUAGGGAAGAACAGAUGUGUAAGUAACUGUGCACAUCUUGACGGUACCUAAUCAGAAAGCCACGGCUAACUACGUG